Molecule: unclassified non-coding RNA, 287 nt
Filed under: Hevea brasiliensis (rubber tree)
Lineage: Eukaryota; Viridiplantae; Streptophyta; Magnoliopsida; Malpighiales; Euphorbiaceae
Source: RNAcentral
CAGGAGAUCAAUCCCAUGCCAUGGGUGGAAAUGGUGCUUUGGCAUUUGAUGCAGAAUAUGCACGGUGGGUGGAAGAGCAAAAUCGGCAGAUCAAUGAGCUUAGGGCUGCAGUAAAUGCUCAUGCAAGCGACACUGAUCUCCGUGCUAUUGUUGAUGGGAUUAUGGCUCACUAUGAUGAGAUUUUUAAAUUGAAGAGUGUCGCUGCCAAGGCAGAUGUCUUUCACAUGUUAUCGGGAAUGUGGAAAACACCUGCAGAGAGAUGUUUCCUUUGGUUGGGUGGUUUCCGG